CUGGCAGUCAGAGGCGAUGAAGGACGUGCUAAUCUGCGAAAAGCUCCGGUAAGGUGAUAUGAACCGUUAUAACCGGCGAUGUCCGAAUGGGGAAACCCAGUGUGACUCGUCACACUAUCAUUAACUGAAUCCAUAGGUUAAUGAGGCGAACCGGGGGAACUGAAACAUCUAAGUACCCCGAGGAAAAGAAAUCAACCGAGAUUCCCCCAGUAGCGGCGAGCGAACGGGGAGGAGCCCAGAGCCUGAAUCAGCAUGUGUGUUAGUGGAAGCGUCUGGAAAGGCGCGCGAUACAGGGUGACAGCCCCGUACACAAAAGCGCAUGUGCUGUGAGCUCGAUGAGUAGGGCGGGACACGUGGUAUCCUGUCUGAAUAUGGGGGGACCAUCCUCCAAGGCUAAAUACUCCUGACUGACCGAUAGUGAACCAGUACCGUGAGGGAAAGGCGAAAAGAACCCCGGCGAGGGGAGUGAAACAGAACCUGAAACCGUGUACGUACAAGCAGUGGGAGCGCCACCACCAAAGCGUUUCGCUUUGCGUGGUGCGCAAAAUGCGUAACGACAGCACGAUUGCGGUUAACGGAGCGUAAGCGACGUUCAACACAAGAAUCAGGCAGUGGAGCGUU
Molecule: ribosomal RNA, 621 nt
Filed under: Salmonella enterica subsp. arizonae serovar 18:z4,z23:- str. CVM 43482
Lineage: Bacteria; Pseudomonadati; Pseudomonadota; Gammaproteobacteria; Enterobacterales; Enterobacteriaceae
Description: bacterial LSU rRNA
Rfam family: Bacterial large subunit ribosomal RNA (bases 1-493)
Source: RNAcentral